UCUGUUUUUUAAAUAGUUGAAGGAAAAAUAGAGUAAAGUACUUGUUGAUAUCCACAAGCCAAAUUUCCUCUAAUAGCAGACGAAUCAAAUUGCAAAUGAUGAUCAAAGUAAUUAAACAAAAAAUUUAAAUAUAAACUAUUUUUACAAAUAAAAAUGUACACAUGUUUGGGAUUAUAUAAAAUAUUUUCAAUGAAGAACUUCUGGUUAAUAGAGAGGUUAUAUUCACCUGGCCGUCUAACAUUUACAUCGGGACUAAGUGUAUGCUUUAAAUAUUCACUGAGUGUAAGCAAGUUGUCAUCGUUCCAGGUCUUAAAUAAAAAAUUUAAGAUUCGUAAGCUUCAUGUUUUAUGACAAGCAAUAAUUGUAACC
RNAcentral lists this unclassified non-coding RNA (369 nucleotides) under Bombus terrestris (buff-tailed bumblebee). RNAcentral describes it as "misc RNA ENSBTSG00005020481.1". Lineage: Eukaryota; Metazoa; Arthropoda; Insecta; Hymenoptera; Apidae. The record is from RNAcentral.